GGGAUGAGCUUGCGUCCGAUUAGCUAGUUGGCGGGCAACGGCCCACCAAGGCGACGAUCGGUAGCCGGCCUGAGAGGGCGAUCGGCCACAUUGGGACUGAGAUACGGCCCAGACUCUACGGGAGGCAGCAGUAGGGAAUAUUGCACAAUGGGGGGAACCCUGAUGCAGCAACGCCACGUGUGGGAAGAAGCAUUUCGGUGUGUAAACCACUGUCGUGAGGGAAUAAUGCUUGAUUUCGGUCAAGUUGAAUGUACCUCGAAAGGAAGCACCGGCAAACUUCGUGCCAGCAGCCGCGGUAAUACGAGGGGUGCAAGCGUUGUUCGGAAUCACUGGGCGUAAAGGGAGCGUAGGCGGAGACGCAAGCAGUCUGUACAAUACCGGGGCCCAACCCCGGACCUGCAGACUGGACUGUGUCUCUUGGAUAGUUCAGGGGCAGGCGGAAUUCCUGGUGUAGCGGUGGAAUGCGUAGAGAUCAGGAAGAACACCGAUGGCGAAGGCAGCCUGCUGGGGACUCAUCGACGCUGAGGCUCGAAAGUGCGGGUAGCAAACAGGAUUAGAUACCCUGGUAGUCC
Molecule: ribosomal RNA, 572 nt
Filed under: uncultured bacterium
Lineage: Bacteria
Description: bacterial SSU rRNA
Rfam family: Bacterial small subunit ribosomal RNA
Source: RNAcentral